This is a long non-coding RNA of Salvelinus sp. IW2-2015, 872 nucleotides long. RefSeq lists it as uncharacterized. The record is from RefSeq and is a predicted model, not a curated record. NCBI's taxonomy places the organism in Eukaryota, Metazoa, Chordata, Actinopteri, Salmoniformes, Salmonidae.
GCCUUUUUAAUAUCAAGCAAACCUUUUGAAUUCGUGAAUAAAAUUCUUAUUGCAAACAAAAAUGAUAUUGAAAGCAAAACAUUAACCCACAAGUGUUGAGGUCAAAUAAAUAACAUAACAAGGAAAUCAUUUUGAAAGGYAAGAACAAAUAAAUUGUAAAUGAAUGAGAAAAAAAUGGUUUUCAUUUAAACAUUUUCAAUGAUUGCGAAAAAACGCACGUUACCCUGCCCGCCCUUUGUUUUAGCUGCCUUUUUUUUGCGUUUUCAAAGUUGGCACAUUCAUUCCAUAUAGGCGGGGUUUAAAGGGAGGCGUAGAAGAUGCGUCUCUAUUGGUCAACUGGUUUUGGAAUGACAGGUCAUCCUUGAUUUGUUUUCACUAUUUUUUAAACGUAUUUAACUUUUCCAUUUCAGAUAAAAAGGUCUCAGUGGCUACUAGCUAGCUGGCCAGCGUAAAAUGUACGACAAGGACAUCGCAAAACAUCCUAGCACUGAGAUGCAGUGCCUUAGACCGCUGCGCCACUCGGGAGCCUGACACAAGCGGUUCUGGCUGAUGACCUGUCUCCAUAGCUGAGAGAAGCCACGGUGGAAUAUCACUUCRUUCCCAACAAUACUGCUAAUAUUUCUGUACCGAUGAGAAAGAGCAGGGCAGACUUAUACAAUUACAAUACAGAAAUGUUCUUGCUCUUUAGUGAAGUUCUGCCAAUCAUAUGUUGGAAACCAUUAUCAAGGAAAACUAGUUGAACACUUUUUGUGGAAAUUUUWAUCUGUUUCUUGAACACCAGUGAUUCAUCUAAGGACAAUAACUCUUGCCUGUAGGAAAAUGUCUAAAUGUACAAUAAGGGGUAUAUCCUUAAUAAAAGAAUUGAUGGUUAA